ACAAUAGGCAAUGCGAAGGUGUUGUUUAAAGUUUAGUGAAUAAAAUUUAUAUAAUGGUGACAUAAUUAUAAUGAAAGAGGUUACAUAAUGUUACAUAUGUUGAUUGGUAACCAAACAGCAAAAGCUUGCAACACAAUGUUUCAGCUGGAUAAAGCUAAUAGCGUUGCCGUUUUGGAUCGAUCAGACUAAAGUUGGUGUUUUCAUUCGACUUUGGUAGUUUGGUUAGUAGGCAAUAUUUUUAUCAGAUGUAUAUAGAAUUUGAUUUGUUCUCUCAAAAUUGGAUAUUAUCUUGUUUGCUAUUUAUACUAACUAAAAAAUAGUUAUGAAUGGGAAUCAUCAGCUGAAUGUAUAGGAAAUAAGAAAUCUAACUAUAAUUCCAUUAGUUCUAUUAAAGAAAAAGGGGUUCAUGAGCGAAAAAAUACUUUAGAUCCUAACAGGGAUCUUACUUGGACAGCUUAGAACGGCGGUCCGACAAGGUUUUUAGCCUUACCGCAUAAAUGCCUAUUGGACAGUCUCCUGUAAGAACCCCUACGAUUGCGGCAAGUAGUUCAGUAGAUCUCCUGUGAUAUGCUCUAGGCCAAAGGGAUUUCAAUAAGCAACACUGAAAGCUAUAUCAAAUUUUUAAAUUCGUUAAUUCACAUAAUUGAUAUUGUAAAUUCAAACAAUAAAUUGUGAACUAAAAGUUUGCAUUUUCAUUGCUAUAUUAUUUGCUUUUUCAUUUAAAAUAAACAUUAUUAAAGUUAUUAAUAGUACUAAGAUAGUUUGUCUAACUAACUAAAUGAUAUCUAUAUACUCCGGAAAUACAUAUAAUAUUAUUUUUAAAAAUUCCGGAAGUUGACUUUUUGAGUUGGGAUUGAUGGUAUAAAUAGGGUUAAUUAGUGUAAAACAAUUAAAAUCUAUUUUUGAAAACUCAUGCUACGUUAUAGUAUGAUAUUUAAAGAAUUGUCUGUUAAAUAUUCAUGGACAAAUAUUUAAAAAAUACGGCAAUGGCAGCAAUUACUCUGAAGCGUUGAAUUGCGGUGCUGAAAUAUCGGAAAUAAAAAAAUCAAAAUUAUAUCGUCAGAUAAUCGCUUUGCUCAGAAAUGUUUUGCGGAGUCUACUUUCACUACGAGCACCAGUAUUUGAGUGGCACAAAGCAUUCAGUGAAGGUCGUGAAGUCAUCAAAAACUUGUCUAAUACGAUUUGGAUGGACGACUUUGCCUUUGAUAAGACGAUAACAUGGAAAAACUUAAAGAAACCAUUUUUGAAAAUCUUCGUGUUGACAUUUCAUUUGUUAAGAUACGAGAUAUCAGAGGAUUUCAACAUCUAUUACGAUCGCCUCAACAUAUUUUGGUUAAAGUUUUAGGUAUGAGAUGAGCUAAUGCUAGUCUCAUACCAAAAUACUUGAAUGGUUUAUAAAAACGACGUCGAUUAGAUCCUAGCUGAGGAUUCUACAUUCAUCAAAUGGGUCAUUACUCGUAAAGAGAAGUGGGUUUAUGAAUAUGGUGUCUAACCUGUCCAACAAUCUAGUGAAUGGUGCUGCAAAAAUGAGCCGAAACCGAAAAAACGAAAGUUCGCUAACGGCAUAGAAGGCUACCACAGCUGAGGUUUAUAACAAGUGCAUGGAAAAUUGGAUUAAGAAAUGACAUGUUUGUGUUGGAUCAGAAGCCUAUUUUGAAGGCGAUA
Molecule: non-coding RNA, 1665 nt
Organism: Bactrocera oleae (olive fruit fly)
Lineage: Eukaryota; Metazoa; Arthropoda; Insecta; Diptera; Tephritidae
Source: RefSeq, a predicted model, not a curated record